RNAcentral lists this ribosomal RNA (497 nucleotides) under uncultured bacterium. RNAcentral describes it as "partial 16S ribosomal RNA". It matches the Rfam family "Bacterial small subunit ribosomal RNA", at positions 28 to 507 of the family's 1533-position model. The record is from RNAcentral.
GAUGAACGCUGGCGGCGUGCCUAAUACAUGCAAGUCGAGCGAACAGACGAGGAGCUUGCUCCUCUGACGUUAGCGGCGGACGGGUGAGUAACACGUGGAUAACCUACCUAUAAGACUGGGAUAACUUCGGGAAACCGGAGCUAAUACCGGAUAAUAUAUUGAACCGCAUGGUUCAAUAGUGAAAGACGGUUUUGCUGUCACUUAUAGAUGGAUCCGCGCCGCAUUAGCUAGUUGGUAAGGUAACGGCUUACCAAGGCAACGAUGCGUAGCCGACCUGAGAGAGUGAUCGGCCACACUGGAACUGAGACACGGUCCAGACUCCUACGGGAGGCAGCAGUAGGGAAUCUUCCGCAAUAGGCGAAAGCCUGACGGAGCAACGCCGCGUGAGUGAUGGAGGUCUUCGGAUCGUAAAACUCUGUUAUUAGGGAAGAACAAAUGUGUAAGUAACUAUGCACGUCUUGACGGUACCUAAUCAGAAAGCCACGGCUAACUACGUG